AGCGAACGCUGGCGGCAGGCCUAACGCAUGCAAGUCGAACGAACUCUUCGGAGUUAGUGGCGGACGGGUGAGUAACACGUGGGAACGUGCCUUUUGGUUCGGAAUAACUCAGGGAAACUUGUGCUAAUACCGAAUGUGCCCUUCGGGGGAAAGAUUUAUCGCCAUUAGAGCGGCCCGCGUCUGAUUAGCUAGUUGGUGAGGUAACGGCUCACCAAGGCGACGAUCAGUAGCUGGUCUGAGAGGAUGACCAGCCACACUGGGACUGAGACACGGCCCAGACUCCUACGGGAGGCAGCAGUGGGGAAUCUUGCGCAAUGGGCGAAAGCCUGACGCAGCCAUGCCGCGUGAAUGAUGAAGGUCUUAGGAUUGUAAAAUUCUUCCACCGGGGACGAUAAUGACGGUACCCGGAGAAGAAGCCCCGGCUAACUUCGUG
RNAcentral lists this ribosomal RNA (433 nucleotides) under uncultured bacterium. Its description in RNAcentral is "partial 16S ribosomal RNA". It matches the Rfam family "Bacterial small subunit ribosomal RNA", at positions 29 to 507 of the family's 1533-position model. The record is from RNAcentral.